RNAcentral lists this ribosomal RNA (484 nucleotides) under uncultured bacterium. RNAcentral's name for it is "partial 16S ribosomal RNA". It matches the Rfam family "Bacterial small subunit ribosomal RNA", at positions 29 to 507 of the family's 1533-position model. The record is from RNAcentral.
AUUGAACGCUGGCGGCAUGCUUUACACAUGCAAGUCGAACGGCAGCGCGGGCUUCGGCCUGGCGGCGAGUGGCGAACGGGUGAGUAAUGCAUCGGAACGUGCCCAGUAGUGGGGGAUAGCACGGCGAAAGACGGAUUAAUACCGCAUACGACCUGAGGGUGAAAGCGGGGGACCGAAAGGCCUCGCGCUAUUGGAGGGGCCGAUGUCGGAUUAGCUAGUUGGUGGGGUAAAGGCUUACCAAGGCGACGAUCCGUAGCUGGUCUGAGAGGACGACCAGCCACACUGGGACUGAGACACGGCCCAGACUCCUACGGGAGGCAGCAGUGGGGAAUGUUGGACAAUGGGGGCAACCCUGAUCCAGCCAUGCCGCGUGCGGGAAGAAGGCCUUCGGGUUGUAAACCGCUUUUGUUCGGGAAGAAAUCCUCUGGGCUAAUACCCCGGGGGGAUGACGGUACCGGAAGAAUAAGCACCGGCUAACUACGUG